Molecule: non-coding RNA, 288 nt
Organism: Electrophorus electricus (electric eel)
Lineage: Eukaryota; Metazoa; Chordata; Actinopteri; Gymnotiformes; Gymnotidae
Source: RefSeq, a predicted model, not a curated record
ACAAACGAAGCAUGGUCUGGAGAAUGUCUAACAGUCUCAGGCGGUGAUGUCCAUAUUGUUUGUUCUGGUCCUUGGUCGGCUGUCCUGUCAUGGAACCAAGGCGUUCCCCUCGACUGAGGCUCCUAGAGGCCUGUCAAAGAGGCCUCCUGAGGAUUUACACUGAAGCCUACAGAGGCCUUUCCUGCAUAAUAAACUCAAGACCUCUUUGGGGCCUCUACAGCAGAAUCUGAAAGUCUUGGAGGAAGUCAAACAAACCUGUGAUGAAACAGCAGCAGAAUGAAAGAUCAU